This 1275-nucleotide long non-coding RNA is filed under the name Apis mellifera (honey bee). Its description in RNAcentral is "uncharacterized LOC100577373, transcript variant X1". Lineage: Eukaryota; Metazoa; Arthropoda; Insecta; Hymenoptera; Apidae. The record is from RNAcentral.
GAUGGAUUUCUCUGGAACGAUCUUCGACUUUUUCCUCAAAUGCCUGUAGUUAAAGAACGAUUCUUUCGAACAAAAUUUAAAGAGCAAUGUUUUUGAUUCGGUGUGUCAAUUAAGAUAGGAAUUCUUAUCUGUCGGUAUGUGCGAUCAGCACAACGAGAAUGCGUAAAAGAAGGGAAGCACAUAGAGGGACGGUACAUAGAACGCACAUAGGGGUUUGCGCGCUGGGAGAAGUUUAUGGGGGCUCCAAGUAUAUUUCCUGAUUGAGCGGACUAAUCCACGCAAAGGAGGUUUUAUCGUCGAGGUAUACGUAAUCGAAGGGUCUCAUAUCUACACGAAUGUCACGUGGAGAAGUAUAAAAUCUUCUUCCAAUUUACAUUAUAAUAUUUCAAAUUGAUAAUUAAAACAAGAAUAAAAAGAAAAGGAAGAAAAUGAUUCAAAAAUUUUUAAAAUUGGGAAGAGAGAUACAAUUAUCAACGAUCCCGAUUGUAAACUUUCGUCAAAGGCAACGGGGUUCCACGCUCUCGACUUAUGGCCGGUUAAAGUCAAUUCGAUAGCAGUUAACGAAUUGUUGGGGGUGAAUAGAAGGGGUUUGCGGUUAACGCGAGGGGUUGACAGGGGAACGCAUAAUACAUUGUUACCCCAUCCACCGGAUUCAACUUCCCCUUCCACGUGCAGUAAUUUUCUCCGCGCGAAACUCGACAUCGGAGUGAACUAUCUCAUAAUUAAAAUUACCGUACUAUACGUACGCAUCGAGAGACUUCAACACUCUAAUACGCGUUGAAUUUAUGUUAUAUUCGAGUCACGGCUGUUAUUUGUCGCUUAAUUAUCAUUAAUUAUCAUCGAUAUUCACUUUUGCUACACCUAUCAUGAUCAUUCAUCUCUUCAUUUAGAAAGAUUAAUUUUAAUUUUUUAUUUUUUAAUUCCUUUUUUUCUUCAAUUUAUUUGUUUAAAUGAUAAAAAAUUAGAUUAAGUUAAAAAUUAUUUAUGGAAUGGUAAUAAUAAGACAAAUACAAUACUUUAAUUUUUAUAUAUUUUUUUAGACAGUUUUUAAUGAAUACAAUAUGCUACAGAUUGUUUAUUACAAAUAAAAUUUUAAUUAAUAAGCAUUUAUAAUAUAGUUUAAACAUAUAUGAUAAUCAUAAUAUAAAAAGCGUAUAUGAGUCAUGUUUUAUUUCAUGAAAAUAAAAAUUAAAGAAUAUUUUUUUGCAUGAUAAUUGUUUAAAACAAAUUGUAUAUACAAAAUUUAUAUUUAAAUAAUAAUAAAUUAAUAAUUAA